This is a long non-coding RNA of Eucalyptus grandis, 936 nucleotides long. RefSeq lists it as uncharacterized. The transcript is spliced from 2 exons. NCBI's taxonomy places the organism in Eukaryota, Viridiplantae, Streptophyta, Magnoliopsida, Myrtales, Myrtaceae. The record is from RefSeq and is a predicted model, not a curated record.
CCCCUGCCACCACCAUUCACUCCUCAUCAUCACUCACUUGAAACUGUGGUCUCUUUUCUGUGUUAUGGCUUCCCUAGCUAUGUAGCAACAACUCAUAAAGCUCUCUCCCCCUCUCUUUCUUUCCUUUUUUUUUUUUAUCUCAUCCCUCACUUAACUUUUGCUUCCACACCGCAAAUCUCCAUUCCUUUUCUCACAAACCAAACCACAUACAUCCACCGGGAUGGGCGGUCGUCGGCAUGUUGCGGUGGUUUCCAGCAGCGGUUACGGAAGGAGCAGCGGAUGUUGGCGUCGACGGCGUCCCAAAAACUGUACUAGGGCGAUGCUUGUCUAGCGAAAAUGAAAGAAAUUAAACAGACGGGCAGAGUUGGGAGAGCAGCAUCGUUGCAUUGCGGGGAAUUGAGGGUAGCGGUCCGAUUUUCACGUUAAACUCAUCAUCAUGUAUUUCUCUUUUUCUUUCUGUAGUACUUAUCGACUUUAGCUUUUCUAUGUUCCCUUCUUUUAGGAGGUUGCUUCUCAUGAUUUUUGUCUUUUUUUCUAUCCUUUGGAAAUGGGAUGUAAGAGACGCAUGCUCGAGUUUUAAAAGAGGGAUUGUGGUCGGUUGGGCUUUGCGACUCGAGAGAGAGGGGGAGGGAGGGAGGGAGGGAGAUGUUGCUGGGCAUGCAUCACUUACACCUGAGAAUAAUGUAUCUUUGCUUUGUUUAUGAAGUUAACAAAACUUUUAGGGCAAGAAAAAGUUCAUCUUGGCUUCUUUCUCGUGGACGUUCUGGGACUAAUCUUCCCAUGUGGUCUGUCAGGUGUGUUGUGUACUUGUAAUAGAUUGAGUUUUGGAUUGAUGUAUUUGUACACGACCCCUUUUGUUUUUUCUCUUUUGGUGGAAGAUUACAGCCGAUGUACACAUCAUGAAUCAAUAAUUUGGAAGAGGUUCUGUUGUUCAGA